CUUAUAUUCUAAUUCGCCAGCUCAAACGAAUAUAAAUUAUUUAAUAAAUAAAACAACACAUAUAUAGGAUAAGUGUGCCUACAGCUGUAGCAGCCUUUAAUAUUAACUUUACAUUCAAUAUAAUUCUCAAACUAAAGUCCUUCACUAUAAUUCAGGCACACUACCAAUCCAAUCAUACAAUAGCACAGUAAUAUACAGUUACACAAUCAAAAACUAUCUACAAAAGAGGAAAAAUUCAUAUUAAUAUAAUGUAAUAUAUGAUGUAUAUACUCCCAUUAACGAUAACCAUCUCAUAAAAGGGUGGGUGGUGGGUAAACAUAAUAACGAAUGCUGCUACUUUGAACUAUAGGCAAACUUCGAAUAACUUUAUUUUCUCAAACUAACCCCUUAAGUAAUACUUAAUCAUGCUUUUCACGAAAAUCAUGAGGGCAUAUACCCGUAAAACCGGCACUACAAGUAUAUGCCAUCCAAUCAAAUUGAACGUAAACACACACCAUGUGCUAGAUAUAAACACACACACGUGUUUAUAGUAAACAAUCACUUGACCGUUAUAACGUCAUGUGACCAAUAACUUUAAUAAAUAUAU
RNAcentral lists this long non-coding RNA (586 nucleotides) under Mytilus galloprovincialis (Mediterranean mussel). The record is from RNAcentral. Lineage: Eukaryota; Metazoa; Mollusca; Bivalvia; Mytilida; Mytilidae.